RNAcentral lists this non-coding RNA (159 nucleotides) under Paracoccaceae bacterium. RNAcentral describes it as "Rhodobacteraceae bacterium 6S RNA". It matches the Rfam family "6S / SsrS RNA". From Rfam's summary of the family: E. coli 6S RNA was the first non coding RNA to be sequenced, but its function was unknown until recently. It consists of 184 nucleotides that fold into an extended hairpin structure with a large single-stranded internal bulge. Lineage: Bacteria; Pseudomonadati; Pseudomonadota; Alphaproteobacteria; Rhodobacterales; Paracoccaceae. The record is from RNAcentral.
GCAGUUCUGGAAUUUUUGUGAAAGAACUAUAUCCUAGUGGCCUUAAGUUCUUGAACGGGAGCCGGCUCUGCGUAAGAUCGUGGUCUUGUGUAACUGGUGCCCACCUGGUUUACCAGGCUCUCAAGGAUUAGACCUCUUCACGGAGUAUCCGGUUCUGCC